UACGUAGGGUGCGAGCGUUGUCUGGAAUUACUGGGCGUAAAGGGCUCGUAGGUGGCCAACUAAGUCAGACGUGAAAUCCCUCGGCUUAACCGGGGAACUGCGUCUGAUACUGGAUGGCUUGAGUUCGGGAGAGGGAUGCGGAAUUCCAGGUGUAGCGGUGAAAUGCGUAGAUAUCUGGAGGAACACCGGUGGCGAAGGCGGCAUCCUGGACCGACACUGACACUGAGGAGCGAAAGCCAGGGGAGCAAACAGG
RNAcentral lists this ribosomal RNA (253 nucleotides) under uncultured bacterium. RNAcentral describes it as "partial 16S ribosomal RNA". It matches the Rfam family "Bacterial small subunit ribosomal RNA", at positions 524 to 776 of the family's 1533-position model. The record is from RNAcentral.